Molecule: ribosomal RNA, 550 nt
Filed under: uncultured bacterium
Lineage: Bacteria
Description: bacterial SSU rRNA
Rfam family: Bacterial small subunit ribosomal RNA
Source: RNAcentral
UAGGGAAUCUUCGGCAAUGGGGGCAACCCUGACCGAGCAACGCCGCGUGAGUGAAGAAGGUUUUCGGAUCGUAAAGCUCUGUUGUAAGAGAAGAACGAGUGUGAGAGUGGAAAGUUCACACUGUGACGGUAACUUACCAGAAAGGGACGGCUAACUACGUGCCAGCAGCCGCGGUAAUACGUAGGUCCCGAGCGUUAUCCGGAUUUAUUGGGCGUAAAGCGAGCGCAGGCGGUUAGAUAAGUCUGAAGUUAAAGGCUGUGGCUUAACCAUAGUACGCCUUGGAAACUGUUUAACUUGAGUGCAGAAGGGGAGAGUGGAAUUCCAUGUGUAGCGGUGAAAUGCGUAGAUAUAUGGAGGAACACCGGUGGCGAAAGCGGCUCUCUGGUCUGUAACUGACGCUGAGGCUCGAAAGCGUGGGGAGCAAACAGGAUUAGAUACCCUGGUAGUCCACGCCGUAAACGAUGAGUGCUAGGUGUUGGGUCCUUUCCGGGACUCAGUGCCGCAGCUAACGCAUUAAGCACUCCGCCUGGGGAGUACGACCGCAAGGUUG